Molecule: long non-coding RNA, 3738 nt
Filed under: Strigops habroptila (Kakapo)
Lineage: Eukaryota; Metazoa; Chordata; Aves; Psittaciformes; Psittacidae
Description: lncRNA (ENSSHBG00005002635.1)
Source: RNAcentral
AGCUUAAAUCAUUGCUCUAUGACACAAAACCAGCUGCUGGCAUCUUUUUUUCCUCUUUUAUUCUGCAGCAUGUCUAGCUGCAUGAGGCAUCUUCUACCUCUCCUAGCACAAACAGUAUGCAAUUGGCCAAAGCAAACGUAUGCUGUCUUUGCUGGGGAGCAGGACAGGGUACCUGAAGCUGACUACAUAGCCUAUACAAUGAAUAGUGAUUUAUAAUGGACUCUCUUGCACCUUUGAUUUAGAAAGGAAAAAUAACCCCAGAAGUUCUACUAACAGCUGGAGAAGGCAGUGAAUCUGCUCAAUCACAUCUGCAUGAGCAGUGUGGGUGAUGUGGGGGGUGCUGUUUCCUACCAGCACAGUUGCACUGGGUAUGGUUUGAAUGUUUGUGGUGAUAACCAUCAGGCCUUUUCUGCAGUGGCUGUUGCAAGCUGGGAGGCAAUAGACUGGGCAGCUGUGGUGCUAACCAACUGUCCAGGAGGUGCUGGUGCACCUAUGAACUUGUGACUUAGAGUAUCACCCCACUGCCCUUCCUGGAUGUAACCUACGUAUGUAACACAAGGGCCUGCAUCGCUUAUGAAGUGGGCCUGCACUUCGUGGUCAGAUUUAGUCUUAAGCUUCACAUAGUUAAGGCAUUUAGGGAACAGAAAAGUCAUUACAGGAAGAGAGAAAAAUUGGAGGAUUCUGAAUCCAGAAUAGGAAUAUUGGAUUACAAAACAAGUCAAUCUUGUGGUUGCCUAAAGCCUGCAGAAAAAGCUUACUGCCAGAUAUAUGUAACUCCAGUUGAAGUGAACCAGCAACAAGCUGCUGUCAGUUAUUGGGAGCAGGAUGAAUUUGGUGAAAACUGGAAUUAAGGUGUUUAUUUUGUGGUUUGGUGUGGGAUUUCUUUUCUUCCACUGCUCUCUGGGCUACCUUCUCUAGGGGAAUGGCACAUACACAGCUGCUUCAUUUGCCAAAUGCGCAUCUCUUGUCCCUAAUGCACACGGAGCAACUGGCAAGAACCUGUGGAUGCUUAGUGGCAAGAAAUGAAGGCAUUUCAUCCAGAAGCAAAACAUCUGUGAGGGCCAAAGCUGGAAAAGGAAAAUCUUGCGCUUAGAAGCUGCUGCCCUUUUGACUCUGCCUUGUUUGUGUUAAUGUAUGGGUGGAGAAAAUGAUGCAACUAUUUUUUAUUUUUUUUUUAUCCCUUCUUCCUGGACUGGUAAAACCACUGAGCGAUUAUGUAAACCACUAAACUAUGAAACAAAAUUCUCCUGGCAACAGAGCGUGCUAAGGAAUUGCAGCUUGGCACCCUUAUCCCCUGGAUCUCUCCUGUUCUCCUUUGGCAUCAGAACUGACUGGGCUUGUGCCGCUGUCUUCCCAUGCUCUGAUCCAGAAGGCUUGCCGGUUCUGGUCCAUGCAUUUCAAGAGAUUAAACCCUGUGCCUGGUAAAAGGCCUGAGUUUCUUUCUGCUUCACCUCAUUUGUCGUUUUGUUAAUUAUAUUGACCUCUCAAAGGGAAGCUUCUGCGCACUUUAAACUGUAACCACAAACCAAAGCCUGGCUUUAAAUAUAAAGGUCUAACUCUUCAGGGAGGAAACUCCUGUUUUCCCUAUGCUGAUUUGCAGGGUGUGAACGGAUACUGGGAAAGCACCACGCUGUGUUAACCCUUUCUUUGUGUUUAUUCCCCAAGUCAUGCAGUGACUGUUGUGCGAUAGCUUGUUGGCUUUAUAGAUAUAAGUUCUUAAAGGAACUGUCAAACUGUAGAUCUGUCAAAAAUACCUCAAACCUACCGUCCUCCUUCUUAGGAGAAGUUUCAUGUAUUUGCUUGAAAUCCUUGCUGCUCAUUCAUCACAGAUUGCAAAGGAUGAAGAAAGUAGGAAGAUCUUGCCUGCUGAUACAGAAAAAGGGUGCAGCUGCUUUGGAAGAAUAGCUUUUUGCUAUGCUGUGCUGCCUCCUCUAGAUCAGAUCUCACUUCUUUGAAAUCCCUGGAAACCUCAUGAUAGGCUCUGGAUUGGAUAUGGAGGACUUUAUUGUGAUAACUGGAAUUCUUUGAGCCCUUGCUCCACAUGUGCGUCGUGGCAUUUAUUAUCUUCUGGGCAGGAGUUGCUGAUUAACCUCCAUUUGUCAAGUUCGUAGGAAUGAGGUAAUAAUCUGUAGCAGUUGGCCCCUUCUUCAGCAAAAUGUGUGGCUGGGCAGCCCAGAGGGCAGUUGCUAGGGCCUGUCUGCUCUCCAGAAUAUGGUGGUUGAGAGGUCAGGUUCCUGGACCAACAGUUCGUCUCGUAGUCCAUGCCCAGUUGUCCUUACAGCAUUCACUUGAACUCUGCAAGAGUCCCAACCCUUGCGAGGGUCUUGCAUUCAGGAAUCCACUUUUUUUUCUCUCCUUCCUGUGGUACUACUUGCUGCUUUUAACAAGGCUAAUGGUGAACUUCUUGUGCAUCUAACUAGCCCCUAACCUGAACAACGCUGUAGAGUUGUUUUAUGUUGCGUGCAAUGGUCCAUAUCUAUGGCAUGCUCCGUAAGCCACAGGAGUGUGUGGUAUGUUGGGUUUGGUUUGCUGCCUGCCCUACUGCUAAUAUUGUUGCAAGCUGAUUUUCAAAGGGUAGGAGAAAAUACUUCACUUCUGACCACUACCUAUAGGACCUAGGAGGUGUUUUCUCGUGACUUUCUGGAGGGCUGCGUACCUGCAACACUUGGACCAGAGGAUAAAAGGCAAUCUGCUGUCUGCCAGCACUGGGGUGUCCCUAGCACUCACUGUGUAUUCACCAGUGGUUUGUCCACUUUUAAAAAUGAAUCUAGUAAUUCACUCCUUCCUCUGAGAGAAGAGCUCUCACUUUUGCCAGUGCUGGUGGGAGAAAUACCUGAAGCUCAGUGUGUGUGUUUCCCUUAGGGGUCCGUUUCUGCUAAACACACGCUAGAUGUGGUGGGUGGCAGGGCUGAGUGUUGCCAAAGUUGGAGGGCAUUGCCAACGGUUUUCUUUUUCCAUCUUCUCCUUAAAUCAGUGAGGGAACAGACCACCUCACCUGGCUGCCACAUCAGCUGGGUUGCUCGUGCCAAACACCCUGUGCCUUCACAGUGGGUUCUGGCCUGCCUGCCCUCUGUGUCCCUGUGGUGGCUGCCCCUCUGACUGCAGCAGUGCUUGCUCCCCUCUCCUCUCCCUCCUUCCCCUUGCAUGUACCAGUGGGACAUUGCUCUGGUUCCAGUCUGCAGGCAGCUCCACCAGGACGGUCUCUAACUGCAUCCAUCUCACUGUGUAGAUCCACAUCAGCCCUUCUGUGCAGGGAGGGGAAACCUAGUUCCAAACAGAGGACUUGGAAAUGUAACUUUGAAAUAAAUACCUCUUCCUUCUGGGUUUUCUCUUGCUCUUGAAACCAGCAUCUAAAGCAGCUCUUUGAGCUCAAUGUGUCCUGAGGCUCCACUGCUGUCACUGAGUGGGAGCAGAGCCUUAAACACACAAUGCACGUAGAGAUCCUGUGGAGAUUACUGAUGUCAGAGCAGCAACUAGACCAGCAAUAGCAUACGCAAGUUUUGUAUUUACUCAGCAAUGUCAUUAAGUAGUGUUCACAGUCACUUUAAAAGUUCAGUAUUAAAGUGUUAAUGCCUUUUUUUUUCUUCCCCUUUUUUUCCCCUAAUGUUUUGCUGAAGAAAAUGUAACUAUUUAUUUUAGCAGAAAUAUAACUUCUAAUAAAAACUUUCUCUAUUUAUCUGGCUGUGGUAGGUUGCUUGUCUUGCUAAUUAAAGGCUUAUUAAAUAUUUUUUGAAUGCA